This 461-nucleotide ribosomal RNA is filed under the name uncultured bacterium. Its description in RNAcentral is "bacterial SSU rRNA". It matches the Rfam family "Bacterial small subunit ribosomal RNA", at positions 8 to 466 of the family's 1533-position model. The record is from RNAcentral.
AGAGUUUGAUCAUGGCUCAGAUUGAACGCUGGCGGCAGGCCUAACACAUGCAAGUCGAGCGGUAACGAAGAGGAGCUUGCUCCUCUGGCGUCGAGCGGCGGACGGGUGAGUAAUGCUUGGGAAUAUGCCUUAUGGUGGGGGACAACAGUUGGAAACGACUGCUAAUACCGCAUGAUGUCUACGGACCAAAGUGGGGGACCUUCGGGCCUCACGCCAUAAGAUUAGCCCAAGUGGGAUUAGCUAGUUGGUGAGGUAAUGGCUCACCAAGGCGACGAUCCCUAGCUGGUUUGAGAGGAUGAUCAGCCACACUGGGACUGAGACACGGCCCAGACUCCUACGGGAGGCAGCAGUGGGGAAUAUUGCACAAUGGGCGCAAGCCUGAUGCAGCCAUGCCGCGUGUGUGAAGAAGGCCUUCGGGUUGUAAAGCACUUUCAGUAAGGAGGAAAGGUUAAGUGUUAAUA